UUCGUUGGAUUUCCUACAAGUUGGUAUGUAUUGAACUUUUAAAAUUUUAGAUCAGCAAACUCUAAGAUCCUAGAAUGGAAGCUGUUCCUCACUUCUCCAUGCGCACCCUCCCAGGUCAGCGAGAUGGUGAAGAAGCUGCACGCGGCAACACCACCAACGUUCGGAGUGGACCUCAUCAAUGAGCUUGUGGAGAACUUUGGCAGAUGUCCCAAGUGGUCUGGUCGGCAAGCCUUUGUCUUUGUCUGCCAGACUGUCAUUGAGGAUGACUGCCUUCCCAUGGACCAGUUUGCUGUGCAUCUGAUGCCGCACCUGCUAACCUUAGCAAACGACAGGGUUCCUAAUGUGCGAGU
This 350-nucleotide small RNA is filed under the name Pongo abelii (Sumatran orangutan). RNAcentral describes it as "retained intron". Lineage: Eukaryota; Metazoa; Chordata; Mammalia; Primates; Hominidae. The record is from RNAcentral.